RNAcentral lists this ribosomal RNA (253 nucleotides) under uncultured bacterium. Its description in RNAcentral is "partial 16S ribosomal RNA". It matches the Rfam family "Bacterial small subunit ribosomal RNA", at positions 524 to 776 of the family's 1533-position model. The record is from RNAcentral.
UACGGAGGGUGCAAGCGUUAAUCGGAAUUACUGGGCGUAAAGGGCGCGUAGGCGGCUUAUUAAGUCAGAUGUGAAAUCCCAGGGCUCAACCUUGGAACUGCAUCUGAUACUGGUAAGCUAGAAUCUGUGAGAGGGAAGUGGAAUUUCCGGUGUAGCGGUGAAAUGCAUAGAGAUCGGAAGGAACAUCAGUGGCGAAGGCGACUUCCUGGCACAAGAUUGACGCUGAGGUGCGAAAGCGUGGGUAGCAAACAGG